RNAcentral lists this ribosomal RNA (497 nucleotides) under uncultured bacterium. RNAcentral describes it as "partial 16S ribosomal RNA". It matches the Rfam family "Bacterial small subunit ribosomal RNA", at positions 28 to 507 of the family's 1533-position model. The record is from RNAcentral.
GAUGAACGCUGGCGGCGUGCCUAAUACAUGCAAGUCGAGCGAACGGACGAGAAGCUUGCUUCUCUGAUGUUAGCGGCGGACGGGUGAGUAACACGUGGAUAACCUACCUAUAAGACUGGGAUAACUUCGGGAAACCGUAGCUAAUACCGGAUAAUAUUUUGAACCGCAUGGUUCAAAAGUGAAAGACGGUCUUGCUGUCACUUAUAGAUGGAUCCGCGCUGCAUUAGCUAGUUGGUAAGGUAACGGCUUACCAAGGCAACGAUGCAUAGCCGACCUGAGAGGGUGAUCCGCUACACUGGAACUGAGACAGGGUCCAGACUCCGACAGGAGGACGCAGUAGGGAAUCUUACGCAAGGGGCGAAAGCCCGACGGAGCAAAGCCGGGGGAGUGAUGAAGGUCUCCGGAUGGUAAAACUCUGUUAUUAGGGAAGAACAAAUGUGUAAGUAACUGUGCACAUCUUGACGGUACCUAAUCAGAAAGCCACGGCUAACUACGUG